UACGUAGGGGGCAAGCGUUGUCCGGAAUCAUUGGGCGUAAAGCGCGUGUAGGCGGCUCGGUAAGUCUGCUGUGAAAGUCCAGGGCUCAACCCUGGGAUGCCGGUGGAUACUGUCGAGCUCGAGUCCGGAAGAGGCGAGUGGAAUUCCUGGUGUAGCGGUGAAAUGCGCAGAUAUCAGGAGGAACACCAAUGGCGAAGGCAGCUUUCUGGGACGGUACUGACGCUGAGACGCGAAAGCGUGGGGAGCGAACAGG
RNAcentral lists this ribosomal RNA (253 nucleotides) under uncultured bacterium. RNAcentral's name for it is "partial 16S ribosomal RNA". It matches the Rfam family "Bacterial small subunit ribosomal RNA", at positions 524 to 776 of the family's 1533-position model. The record is from RNAcentral.